RNAcentral lists this transfer RNA (73 nucleotides) under Loxodonta africana (African savanna elephant). It matches the Rfam family "tRNA". From Rfam's summary of the family: Transfer RNA (tRNA) molecules are approximately 80 nucleotides in length. Lineage: Eukaryota; Metazoa; Chordata; Mammalia; Proboscidea; Elephantidae. The record is from Rfam by way of RNAcentral.
GCAGUGGUGGUUUAGGAGGGUAGAUGUCUUGCCUUCUACACAGGAGACCCAGGUUCAAUUCCUGGCCAAUGCA